This 555-nucleotide ribosomal RNA is filed under the name Triticum aestivum (bread wheat). RNAcentral describes it as "partial small subunit ribosomal RNA". The record is from RNAcentral. Lineage: Eukaryota; Viridiplantae; Streptophyta; Magnoliopsida; Poales; Poaceae.
AUGGAGCAGGUCAGCGUGCUCACGAAGUCGGAUAUGACCGGCAAUGACAUCGUUGCCGCCUGGGUCAGCCGGAGGAUCCAGCCACUUCAGGCCCGCGGCAGUUUCAGAAAAGAUGCUGAAGCUGAUUCAAGAAAUGCUAGUAAGGCUGUUGAUCAAAAUCCUCCGCCACCAAAGCAAGAUUUCAUCCAUGUGAGGGCAAGAAGGGGUCAAGCAACCAACAGCCAUAGCCUUGCAGAAAGGGCACGUCGUGAGAAAAUAACCGAGUGGGUGAAAAUUCUCCAAGAUCUUGUCCCUGGAUGUAAUAAGGUUAUUGGCAAAGCAUCGGUCCUCAGUGAGAUAAUCAAUUAUGUCCAAGCUUUGGAACGUCAAAUUGAGUUCCUGUCCAGGAAGCUUGAGGCGGUUAAUGCCCAUGCUCACAAUGGGGCCGAGACAUUUCCAACUAAAGAUGUAAGUCUAAUAUUUGACCCGCAAACACCAAGGGAGUACACGCAAGGCUCGCCGGCUUCAGAGUGGCUUCGCAUGCAGAUUGGUGGCAACUACGAAAGGGCGACAUGA